RNAcentral lists this non-coding RNA (30 nucleotides) under Cricetulus griseus (Chinese hamster). Lineage: Eukaryota; Metazoa; Chordata; Mammalia; Rodentia; Cricetidae. The record is from RNAcentral.
GAGAACUGUGGCAAAUCGCAGAACUGGAGA